This 87-nucleotide microRNA precursor is filed under the name Ovis aries (sheep). Its description in RNAcentral is "miRNA (ENSOARG00000022044.1)". It matches the Rfam family "mir-3085 microRNA precursor family". Lineage: Eukaryota; Metazoa; Chordata; Mammalia; Artiodactyla; Bovidae. The record is from RNAcentral.
CCCUGCUCUGGGGAGGUGCCAUUCUGAGGGCCAGGAGUUUGAUUAUGUGCCACUCUGGCUGCUAUGGCCCCCUCCCAGGGUCCGGGC